AUGGCCAGCCCCGGGUCUCCGAGCUUCAGCUCUCCCGAGCGCUUGUCCUACUGCGAUGCGGUCAGGUGCAAGGAUGAGAUCCAUCCGGUCAGGAGUUGGGGUCCGAGAUCCACCUGCCGCCGCCUCUAUCGAGUCUGGGAGCAGUGCCGCGGAGCUCGUCGCUCAGCCGCCGUUGUCGACUGCCACCUGUCCCUACAGUUUCGAUGGCCACGUCGUCCCACAGCUCGUCGCCGUCUCAACCUGCCGGCCGCCGAGACCUUGAGCUGCGCAGGGCGCAUGCGCCGGGAUCCGCCAGACUCACGGGUCGCUGUUGCCUCAGCCUCAGUCCUCCAUGGCUCCGGCCAUCCUCGUCUAGGUGGAUCACCCGAGACAGGGGCGGAAUACCGGCGAGGAAAACGAUCGAUCCAGAUUGUGGAGAAGCAUGGUUCAUGGUCAUUCAAACGAAACCUCCCUUUGGGGGAAAUAGCAAUGAUUCAGAAUCACCCCCUUCAGGAAAAUAAUAACGAUUCAGAAACUAAUGACCUGGUUCAGCUAAUGGAUAUCACUGAGUUUCUGCUAGCUAUGCAGUGCCAUGAUGGUCAGAUACAAAAUGCUGCAGAAGGGAAUAUCAAGCAAUUUAAGGAGCAGAGUUUUCCACAGUUUCUGCAAGCAUUAUCUGCUGAGCUAUCAAAUGAUAAUAAAUCUCCAGUAUCUCGAAGGCUUGCUGGCAUUCUGCUUAAAAGUUCUUUGGAUGCAAAAGAUUUAGCAAGGAAACAAAAAUGGUAUGAAUCACGUGGAGAAAAUUCAAGGGUCCGACAUGCUGCUGCUAAAGCAUUGUACGAUGCUCUUGAUUUUACCGAGACAAAAUUUCAGAAUGAAUCAGAGAGGAAGUACAUAAUGAAGGUAGUUUCUGAAACUGCCAUUUCUAAGGAGUCUGAUAUUAGGAAGGCUGCAUUUGAGUGUUUGGUCUCCAUAGCAUCAACAUACUAUGAUCUUCUAGAGCCCUACAUGCAGACAUUAUUUGAGUUGACAGCAAAUGCUGCCAGGGCAGAUGAAGAACAAGGGGCACCUGCCUUUGGCUUGUUGCAACGGCUGUCAAGGUUGCCAUUGUACCUCUCUGCUACAUUUGCAUUUGGUUCCAUUCUUGAAGGCCCUUCAGUUGAAAAGCUUGCACCACUGGUUCAUGAGACUACUGCAUGGGCACUUUCGAGGACAUUUGAGUUUCCACAUUCACCAACCAGUGGGUCUAUGUCAUCAGUGCUGUCACCCUAUUUUGGUCAAUUAGUAUCAGCUCUCCUUGCCAUUGCUGAUCGUUCUGAUUCCAUCAACUCCAGGCUUUGUGCAUCUGCAUAUGAAACACUUAACGAGAUUGCGAGAUGCAGCAGCAUUGCAGACACCCUGAACAUGAUUGUGUUAUUAUUGCAAGAGAUCUUGAAGAGAUUAAACCAGGCCUUUGAGUUUCAGAUCGCAUCCUCUCAGGACAAGGAAAAGCAAAGUGGCCUUCAAGCCUUGCUAUGUGGUGUUCUUCAAGUAAUCCUUCAAAAGUUCAGCAACUGUGAUGAUAAAUCAGUAAUCGUUCAGUUUGCUGACCAAAUAAUGGUGUUAUUUCUCCAGUAUGCUGUGUUUCUGUGGGUGUGUUUGCGGACAUCUGUCAUGCCCUGGAUGACAAGGUACUCCCUUACUGUGAUAUGUAUCAUGUCCACCCUUCUCAAGUUCCUUUCAAGCCCAGAGCUUGAUCGUUCUGUGAAACCACCAAUUUUGUCAUGCAUAGGAGAUAUUGCACUUACAAUUGGUGAGCAUUUUGAGAAAUAUGUUCCAUACACUCUGCCUAUGUUGCAAGGAGCUGCAGAGCUUUGCUCUCUUAUGGAGCUUCCUGAUGAUGACAGUACAGAGUAUAAAAAUGAACUCAGGCGAAGCAUCUUCGAGGCCUAUUCGGGUAUACUUCAGGGAGUCAGAAGUUCAAAAUCAGAGCUCAUGGUUCCUUAUGCCGGCCAUAUUUUCCAGUUCGCCGAACUGGUGUUACGAGAGACAUCAAGGGACGAGGGUCUGACCAAAGCUGGAGUUGCCUUGGUCGGGGACCUCAUGGAUGCCCUAGGACCUUCCAUUAAACUGCUGCUCAAGAAUUCCAACUUCCACCCGGAGCUUCUUGGGUGCUGUUCCCAGUCUGAUGACGAACAGCUAAGGGAGACUGCGUCCUGGGUCCAGGGUGUGAUCUCACGUGUGCUGGUUUAUGAUGGAAAGCUUCUCCAAGGCAAAAGGGGGAAACAGGAGGAUGCACAAGCUGAAACUGGAGAUCAUGCUGAUGCUGAGAAGCCAAAGAUGUCGCACGGAAAACUGAAGAAGCCGCUGGUUCAGAGCUACCUUAGGGGGGCAGAUCCGCAGAUGCAGCAUCCUACAAGACUGAAUCAGCCGAAGGCAAGGCUUUCUUGGAGCUUCCUGGAGACGUUUCUGCACCUGUAUGAGAGAAAUAAGCAAGAUGAAAGCCAGCUGAAUCUGGAGGACCUCCCGUGGAGGGUGAGAAAACUGAGAAUGACCUCAAAUCCAGGGGUCUACCCUACAAUAUCCUCGGGGGAAAAGAAAGAAGAGGCGGAUAGCACUACCAAUUCAGCGACGCCUCCUACAGAGGAAAUAAAAGCAGAUGUUUCAGCGGAAGAGUCAGGAAAAGCCACAGAGAAUUCAGCAGACAGCGCUGCUCACCAGGGUCGUGUUCCGUGGUAA
Molecule: ribosomal RNA, 2697 nt
Filed under: Triticum aestivum (bread wheat)
Lineage: Eukaryota; Viridiplantae; Streptophyta; Magnoliopsida; Poales; Poaceae
Description: partial small subunit ribosomal RNA
Source: RNAcentral